Molecule: long non-coding RNA, 1681 nt
Filed under: Homo sapiens (human)
Lineage: Eukaryota; Metazoa; Chordata; Mammalia; Primates; Hominidae
Description: non-protein coding lnc-PKIA-3:2
Source: RNAcentral
UUAAACAUCUUACUUGUUUUGUAAAAGUGUAAUUAUGCAAUUUCCUUUUCAAAUACACAAGACUAAAAAUACAAAUCUAUCUUGUUCUAUUUAUAACUGAUUUUUUUUAGUUCUGUAUGUAUUCGUUGAACAUAUUUUUUUACUUCCAAUUGUUUUUCCAGAUUUCACUUUUCCUCUUUUUCCAUAACCCGUGAAGAUAGUUUUAAUUUGCUAGUUCAUUUUUUGCUGUAUUUGAAAAUGUAAUUAUUUAAUAUAGAAGGCACAGAAUUCCCUGCAAAAUCUUACAUGUUUAAAAACAUAUAAUUUUUUGUAUCUGAAUUUAGAAUAAAUCAUUUUAAUGCAUCUUAAAUCACGUCACCUAAUCAUAAUAGUUGUGGUAACUAAUCAUUAGUGCAGAGCAUGCAGAUAAAAAAUAUUUGAAUUUUUUUUUCUUGGAAGUACAUGUAGUUAUGAGUAGGUUAAGAGAAUAUCUAAUUUUCCUACUCUUUUUUUCAUCUUUAGCAUUUAAUGUUGAAACACCAUUCACGUCACAUUAAGGACCCACUGAAAAUGUAUUGUUUUAAUGCAUAAUUGACUUACCUAAUUAAACAUACACACAAAUUUAAUUAUUUUUUUCUCUUUAACCUGAUCACGACACAGCUCUUAAUCAUUGUCACUUUCAGUAUAUCAUAGUAGUUAGUAGUAGAUUGCCUUGAUGGCAGUAAUUCUGUAGUAAUUUCUAUUCAAUCAAACCUAAGAGAGCUUUGAUCUUACUGUAAAGGUACAAACAAAUCUCUUAUAUAAUUCCUAGCUUUUUUUUUUGUUUAUGAUUCUGAUCAACUAUAAGACACAAUGUAAAGAAUUGUGGCUUAUAAUUUAUCUGAAAUUUAUUAGCUUAGUUUAGUUUGGGCAGGAGUUACAAACUUAAUAGGAAUUGUCAUUUUACUUACAGUUUAUUUCCUGAUUAGUUGUUAAUUUUUUUCCCCUCAGUUAUCUUUAUUCAGUCUUAUUGGUCAAAACAAAGAAACAAAUAGUCCAUCAACUAAAAUAAGCUGUAAUGAAUUUAGAAGAUGAAUGCAUAUAUUAGAUUUCCAUUUAAAUCACUUCUGUUAUAAAUCAUAUAAAGAACUUUAAACUUGUUUUAUCUAAUACUGAGCACUGUUUUUUUGUCAAGUAUUUUUUUAAGACCACAUAAUUCUUUUUGUCUGCUCAAGGAAAGGAUAGAUAAAUAAUUGGCACACAUUUGUUUCUCACUGAAUUUUACAGUAGUAAAUUAAUGUUAUAAUGUACCACAUGGAGAUGAGUUGGUAAGAAAUCAUCUAGUUCCAGAGCCCAGAGAUUAUAAACAGUAGGUGAAAUAGAUUUAUGACUUACGAAAUAUGUUGUGACAAUAUAUUUAAAUGCAUUUUUAUAUUACUUGCAUAUUCUCACAUUGAUUUGUGCAAUAGUUCAGUUUUAAAAAAAAUCUUCCUAUGCAUCAUGUAUUUUAUUUUUAUUUAUUUUCACAAGUAUUUGACAGUAUGGUAGAAUAAAAGAUGAUUGUAAGAUUAAAAAUGUAAAAAUUGCUUAUGUAUUAUUCUGAAUUGUGUUAGGUUGAAAAAGAUGAUUGUGGUGACUAUUAUUUCUUGUCCACUAUUUGUUUUUUGUUUUUUCACCAAUAAUGUCUUCAUAUUUGAACCUAUUCAAUAAAGACAUGAAGCAU